This is a long non-coding RNA of Gadus morhua (Atlantic cod), 1839 nucleotides long. The record is from Ensembl. Lineage: Eukaryota; Metazoa; Chordata; Actinopteri; Gadiformes; Gadidae.
AGGUGAUGGAGGCGGUCGUCUGGAGGUGCUCGCCAUGAGGUCCGUGGCGGUCGUCUGGAGGUCCGUGGCGGUCGUCUGGCGGUCAUCUGGAGGUCCGUGGCGGUCGUCUGGAGGUCCGUGGCGGUCGUCUGGAGGUCCGUGGCGGUCGUCUGGAGGUCCGUGGCGGUCGUCUGGAGGUCCGUGGCGGUCGUCUGGAGGUCCGUGGCGGUCGUCUGGAGGUCCGUGGCGGUCGUCUGGAGGUCGUCUGGAGGUCGUCUGGAGGUCCGUGGCGGUCGUCUGGAGGUCCGUGGCGGUCGUCUGGAGGUCCGUGGCGGUCGUCUGGAGGUCCGUGGCGGUCGUCUGGAGGUCCGUGGCGGUCGUCUGGAGGCGCCUGCUGCAGGUGGAGGGAAGGCCGGAGCCGUGCAGCCCAACGGAUGCAGAACGGUGAGACAUGGAACUUCAAAGCGGCACAUUUCUUCUAGGCUUGGUGAAUUGUUUAGAAUUAAAACUUUGACAUGGCGCCACAGCAACUCUGAGGUGUUCUGAAAAAUGCCAGAUGCAUUCUCAGCCACUAGGACCAGCUCCAGGAUGUAGGCUAGGUGUGUGUGGCUGGCUGUUGGGUUAAAUAAUACCUCACUCAAGACUGCACAGUAGGGCAUCAGUGAGAUCUGUGGGAGCUAAAGCAGAGGAGGAGUUGAUUAUCUGCAUCAUGUACGGGGAGAAAUGUGCAGUGUGCAAAUGGAACGUGUCAUUCGCCUUUCAGAAGGACUGAGGCGGAGGUCCUGGAGGCGGAGGUCCUGGAGGCGGAGGUCCUGGAGGCGGAGGUCCUGGAGGCGGCGGUGGCCUGGAGGUCCUGGAAGCGUCCAACCUGGAAGGGGCGGCAUGGUGGGCCAGGUGGCGGCUCCUCAUCCAGUAAAAAGGUCCUGGAGGCGGCCAACCUGGAAGGCCUGGAGACGGCGGCGGGCCUGGAGGUGGACGCCAACUUGGAGGUCCUGGAGUCGGUGGGCCUGGAGGCGGUGGUUGGGACCAACCUGGAGGGCCUGGAGGCGGUGGUUGGGACCAACCUGGAGGUCCUGGCGGUGGCGUCCACCUGGCGGCGGUCAGCCUGGAGGGCCCGGCGGCGGCGGCGACGUCCUGGAGGGCCCGGCGGCGGCGGCGGCGGCGGCGGCGGCGGCGGCGGCGGCGGCGGCGACGUCCUGGAGGGCCCGGCGGCGGCGUCCUGGAGGGCCCGGCGGCGGCGUCCUGGAGGGCCCGGCGGCGGCGUCCUGGAGGGCCCGGCGGCGGCGGCGGUGGCGUCCACCCGGCGGCGGCGUCCUGGAGGGCCCGGCGGCGGCGGCGGUGGCGUCCACCUGGCGGCGGCGUCCUGGAGGGCCCGGCGGUGGCGUCCACCUGGCGGCGGCGUCCUGGAGGGCCCGGCGGCGGCGGUGGCGUCCACCUGGCGGCGGCGUCCUGGAGGGCCCGGCGGCGGCGGCAGCGGCGUCCUGGAGUGCCCGGCGGGGCGAGGGCCCGGCGGCGGUGGCGGCGGCGGCGGCUCCUCAUCCGGUUAAGCUAAACUCUUCUCCAGUGCAUCAUGAACGGGGAGGAAUGUCCGGGGUGCAAAUAGAACGCGUGUCUCAUUUCAGAAGAAAUGAGGCGACGUUGCGGUGGCCCAGGCGGUCGGCCCGGUGGAGGUCCUGGAGGACGGCUGGGGGAUCCGGCAGUGGAGGUCCGGAGGUGGCUCGUGAUUAGACCAACCAGCUCCUCAUCCAUGGAAGGUAAGCUCUUCAAUCUGAUCAAUUUGAUCAAAGAGCGCAGCCAUGAACUGGUGGUAUCGCCAUUUGGGGACUAAACUCUAAUGUUUAACUCAAGUAACUGCAGUGU